Molecule: ribosomal RNA, 274 nt
Filed under: uncultured bacterium
Lineage: Bacteria
Description: partial 16S ribosomal RNA
Rfam family: Bacterial small subunit ribosomal RNA
Source: RNAcentral
AUACGGAGGGUGCAAGCGUUACUCGGAAUCACUGGGCGUAAAGCGCGCGCAGGCGGCUUGAUAAGUUGGAUGUGAAAGCCUACGGCUCAACCGUAGAACUGCAUCCAAAACUGUCAAGCUAGAGUCUGGGAGGGGAAGAUGGAAUUAGUUGUGUAGGGGUAAAAUCCGUAGAGAUAACUAGGAAUACCAAAAGCGAAGGCGAUCUUCUGGAACAGUACUGACGCUGAGGCGCGAAAGCGUGGGGAGCAAACAGGAUUAGAAACCCGGGUAGUAC